RNAcentral lists this ribosomal RNA (404 nucleotides) under Verrucomicrobiota bacterium. Its description in RNAcentral is "Verrucomicrobia bacterium partial 16S ribosomal RNA". It matches the Rfam family "Bacterial small subunit ribosomal RNA", at positions 355 to 776 of the family's 1533-position model. Lineage: Bacteria; Pseudomonadati; Verrucomicrobiota. The record is from RNAcentral.
UGGGGAAUAUUGCACAAUGGAGGGAACUCUGAUGCAGCGACGCCGCGUGAACGAAGAAGGCUUUCGAGUCGUAAAGUUCUUUUAUAUGGGAAGAUAAUGACGGUACCAUAAGAAAAAGCCCCGGCUAACUACGUGCCAGCAGCCGCGGUAAUACGUAGGGGGCUAGCGUUGUCCGGAAUUAUUGGGCGUAAAGCGCGCGCAGGUGGUUUAGAAAGUCUGAUGUGAAAGCCCACGGCUCAACCGUGGAGGGUCAUUGGAAACUAAUAAACUUGAGUGCAGGAGAGAAAAGUGGAAUUCCUAGUGUAGCGGUGAAAUGCGUAGAGAUUAGGAGGAACACCGGUGGCGAAAGCGGCUUUUUGGCCUGCAACUGACACUGAGGCGCGAAAGCGUGGGGAGCAAACAGG